ACAAACUAGUCUUCACAAUUAUCAUCGCAGAGAAGCAUUUUUCAACGGUAGCUGUAGCUAUAGGUAAAAUCAAAGCUAUCUUUAAAAGUCGAUCAACCUGAGGAUGUGAAAGAUAUUUCCUUGCCUCCAUCAUUACACGUGCAAGAUCUCCUAAGCUCUUCAAAUUAGCAAAUCAUUCAUCUUCCCAAAUAUUGUCAAUGUAUAAACCAAGUUGAUGCUCGAGUGCUAUACGUCG
This 235-nucleotide long non-coding RNA is filed under the name Capsella rubella. Its description in RNAcentral is "long non-coding RNA (CRUB_LNC003833)". The record is from RNAcentral. Lineage: Eukaryota; Viridiplantae; Streptophyta; Magnoliopsida; Brassicales; Brassicaceae.